CUGGGCUUGACAUGCACGGGAAACCCGGUGGAAACAUCGGGCCCUCUUCGGAGUCCGUGCACAGGUGCUGCAUGGCUGUCGUCAGCUCGUGUCGUGAGAUGUUGGGUUAAGUCCCGCAACGAGCGCAACCCUUGUCCCUAGUUACCAGCGGGUAAAGCCGGGAACUCUAGGGAGACUGCCGGUGUCAAACCGGAGGAAGGUAGGGACGACGUCAAGUCAUCAUGGCCCUUACGUCCGGGGCGACACACGUGCUACAAUGGCCGGUACAGAGCGUCGCAAGCUCGCAAGAGCAAGCUAAUCGCCAAAAGCCGGUCUAAGUUCGGAUUGUGGGCUGCGACCCGCCCACAUGAAGCUGGAAUCGCUAGUAAUCGUGGAUCAGCCAUGCCACGGU
Molecule: ribosomal RNA, 391 nt
Filed under: uncultured bacterium
Lineage: Bacteria
Description: bacterial SSU rRNA
Rfam family: Bacterial small subunit ribosomal RNA
Source: RNAcentral